Non-coding RNA from Peromyscus maniculatus bairdii (prairie deer mouse), 1188 nucleotides. The record is from RefSeq and is a predicted model, not a curated record. Lineage: Eukaryota; Metazoa; Chordata; Mammalia; Rodentia; Cricetidae.
GUUUGCACUCUGAGAUCCCUACUGCCCGGAGCUGUCCAGAAAGAGGGAUCUGGAGACCCAAAGGAGUCCGGGAGGAAAGAUCAGAGAGGCGCUGGCAGUGGACUAGGAAGCUCGGCUGGUACUGCUUUCCCCCCCGCCCCUGGGCUUCAGCGAGAGUCUUUGCCUGUCGAACAAGAAGGGGUGAGGAUCAUAUUUUUAUUUUGGAAACUAAAAAGUGCUCCCGGGGUCGGCGAUCGUGAAGGGGAAAUCCCUGAAUGUACUCUCCAGCCAAGAAGGCAGGGCUGCCCGCCUGCACGGGAAGAGGCGGCAGCCUCCUACAGCACCACUACAGGCACUGCGAGGACAUAGCACCACAGCGCAGUUCCUCUGCCCUCCGAAACGACAACUUUCCUACCAUCUUGGAGGCAGAGAGCGAAGAGGGGCCAAGGGGGAAAGUGCACCGGCUCCGGAGAAAGUGCAAAUUUCUACCUCGCCUCUCCGGGGGGCGGGAAAAAGUCUACACCGGCGCCUAAGGGUUUGAAAAGCUGGGAUGGAAACAGAAUCGAGUUCAUUCGCCCCCGUAGAGGGGGGAAUGUCUGUCUCUGCACCUUCUGAUGGCAAGAAAUCUUGACAAGACACAGGUUUUACGAUAUUAUCGUUGCUUUCCGUUUUAACUUUUUUUUUUUCUUUUUUCCGUGAUGGUGACAGUGGUAGCUUCAUGUUUUUCUUUUUUCCUCCAGGCUAAUAAUGGUUGUUUUUUUUUCUUCUCUAUGGCAGGUCCAAGUUCUGUGUCUGCUGGUUAGUGUGUAAAUUGGCACUUCAGAGACGUCAAGGUCACUUUAUUGUGUUUAUUUCAUUGCCCGUUUAUAUUGCAUGUAUGCGUGUUUAUGUUCUCGUGUGUUGUAGUGGAGGUUCUGUGGUUUUGGUAUCCACGAAACUGAGGGCGCAGCAAGUCAACUGAAAAGGGAUGUCUUUUGUCUUUUCUCAAAGCCGUGGAAGUAAAACCUAUUGACUGUCCAGAAAGGCCUAAUACAGCUGUUUAUUUUUCACAGUGCAAAUUAAAGCACUGUGUAUUUAAACUCUCCUUACAGCAGACCAAGCCUGUCAUGGUCUGUCUGCCCGAGAAGAAAGAUUACUCCUGUAAACCUAGCAGUAGAUUGAAAGAUGCUUUGGAUUUUCUUUAAGUAAAGUUAUUUAUUAAGAAUUACA